AUUGAACGCUGGCGGCGUGCUUAACACAUGCAGGUCGAACGGUAAGGCCCUUCGGGGUACACGAGUGGCGAACGGGUGAGUAACACGUGGGUGAUCUGCCCUGCACUUCGGGAUAAGCCUGGGAAACUGGGUCUAAUACCGGAUAGGACCACUGCCUGCAUGGGUGGUGGUGGAAAGCUUUUGCGGUGUGGGAUGGGCCCGCGGCCUAUCAGCUUGUUGGUGGGGUGAUGGCCUACCAAGGCGACGACGGGUAGCCGGCCUGAGAGGGUGACCGGCCACACUGGGACUGAGAUACGGCCCAGACUCCUACGGGAGGCAGCAGUGGGGAAUAUUGCACAAUGGGCGCAAGCCUGAUGCAGCGACGCCGCGUGAGGGAUGACGGCCUUCGGGUUGUAAACCUCUUUCAGCACCGACGAAGCGCAAGUGACGGUAGGUGCAGAAGAAGGACCGGCCAACUACGUGCCAGCCGCCGCCGUAA
RNAcentral lists this ribosomal RNA (478 nucleotides) under uncultured bacterium. RNAcentral's name for it is "partial 16S ribosomal RNA". It matches the Rfam family "Bacterial small subunit ribosomal RNA", at positions 28 to 523 of the family's 1533-position model. The record is from RNAcentral.